RNAcentral lists this ribosomal RNA (564 nucleotides) under uncultured soil bacterium. RNAcentral describes it as "bacterial SSU rRNA". It matches the Rfam family "Bacterial small subunit ribosomal RNA", at positions 860 to 1425 of the family's 1533-position model. The record is from RNAcentral.
CUAAGCAUUCCGCCUGGGGAGUACGUUCGCAAGGCUGAAACUCAAAGGAAUUGACGGGGGCCCGCACAAGCGGUGGAGCAUGUGGUUUAAUUCGACGCAACGCGAAGAACCUUACCCAGGCUCGAACGGCAGAUGACAUCUUACGAAAGUAGGCUCCCGCAAGGGCAUCUGUCGAGGUGCUGCAUGGCUGUCGUCAGCUCGUGUCGUGAGAUGUUGGGUUAAGUCCCGCAACGAGCGCAACCCUUGUCUUCUGUUGCCAUCAGGUCAAGCUGGGCACUCUGAAGAGACUGCCGGUGACAAACCGGAGGAAGGUGGGGAUGACGUCAAGUCAGCAUGGCCUUUAUGUCUGGGGCCACACACGUGCUACAAUGGCAGGUACAAACCGUCGCGAGACCGCAAGGUGGAGCUAAUCGGAUAAAGCCUGUCUCAGUUCGGAUUGUCGGCUGCAACUCGCCGGCAUGAAGUUGGAAUCGCUAGUAAUCGCGGAUCAGCACGCCGCGGUGAAUACGUUCCCGGGCCUUGUACACACCGCCCGUCACAUCACGAAAGCUGGCUGUACUAGAA